AUCCUGGCUCAGGAUGAACGCUGGCGGCGUGCUUAACACAUGCAAGUCGAACGGAGUGCUUAUGACAGAGGAUUCGUCCAAUGGAUUAAGUUACUUAGUGGCGGACGGGUGAGUAACGCGUGAGUAACCUGCCUUGGAGUGGGGAAUAACACAGUGAAAAUUGUGCUAAUACCGCAUAAUGCAGUUGGGUCGCAUGGCUCUGACUGCCAAAGAUUUAUCG
RNAcentral lists this ribosomal RNA (220 nucleotides) under uncultured bacterium. RNAcentral's name for it is "partial 16S ribosomal RNA". It matches the Rfam family "Bacterial small subunit ribosomal RNA", at positions 16 to 217 of the family's 1533-position model. The record is from RNAcentral.